UACAGAGGGUGCAAGCGUUAAUCGGAGUUACUGGGCGUAAAGGGCGCGUAGGCGGUUGUGUGAGUGUGAUGUGAAAGCCCUGGGCUUAACCUAGGAAGUGCAUCGCAAACGACAUAACUGGAGUAUAAGAGAGGGUGGCGGAAUUUCCGGUGUAGCGGUGAAAUGCGCAGAUAUCAGGAGGAACACCGAUGGCGAAGGCAGGUCUCUGGGCCACUACUGACGCUGAGAAGCGAAAGCAUGGGGAGCAAACAGG
RNAcentral lists this ribosomal RNA (253 nucleotides) under uncultured bacterium. RNAcentral describes it as "partial 16S ribosomal RNA". It matches the Rfam family "Bacterial small subunit ribosomal RNA", at positions 524 to 776 of the family's 1533-position model. The record is from RNAcentral.